Molecule: long non-coding RNA, 386 nt
Organism: Cercocebus atys (sooty mangabey)
Lineage: Eukaryota; Metazoa; Chordata; Mammalia; Primates; Cercopithecidae
Exons: 3
Source: RefSeq, a predicted model, not a curated record
UUCCAGAAAAUAUGCAUAAAAGAAAGGACCUUACAAGACAACUUGCAUGGAUACUCUGAAGCAACUUUGAGGUCUCCUUGAUGAGGAAAGUUGGCUGAACCUGCUGUAGAGUAGGCCCACAGCCAAGCCAUUGAGAGACAAGUCCAUGGGAGACAAAUUAUCUCAUGCAGCUGAGAUGUCCUGGAGAUUUUCCACAGCACCACUUGGCCAGUGCCUGGACAAGGCAAUCUUCCCCAGUCGUCAACACAGACACCAAUGGAUCUGAAUUCAGUCAUUGUCGACUGGUGUUCUGCCUGUCCUAGAUGUCAUGUAAGUGGAUUUAAAUAACUGCUCUUGUGUCUGACUCCUUUUGUUCAGCGUGGUGCUUUUGAGAUUUAUCUAUGUCA